Non-coding RNA from Pseudonaja textilis, 325 nucleotides. NCBI's taxonomy places the organism in Eukaryota, Metazoa, Chordata, Lepidosauria, Squamata, Elapidae. The record is from RefSeq and is a predicted model, not a curated record.
CAUUCCCUUCUCCAAACUGCCAAACUGUUUUUUCCUUCUCCUUUGCUUGCUUUCCACGCUUCCCCCACCACCACCACCACUCCUCCCCAUAAGUUGUCCUUGCUGGGGGAGGAAAGGGGCCUCCAGCAACCUAGGAAGGAACACAGCAGCCUGGGAAGGAUCUGGGGAUCAGAAAUUGCCAACCCAGGAGGACGGCUGAACAAGUAAUUAUUAUUUUUUUCCUUCCAACCCCGAAGCUUAAGGAAAAAGAACAUCUCGCGUGCCUGAUUUCAACCAGGUGGCAGACUGGUAAAAACAAAACAAAACAAAACAAAACAAACAAAAA